CAGUCGCCGCGGUAAUACGAGGGGAGCUAGCGUUGUUCGGAAUUACUGGGCGUAAAGCGCGCGUAGGCGGCUUUUUAAGUCAGAGGUGAAAGCCCGGGGCUCAACCCCGGAAUUGCCUUUGAAACUGGAAAGCUAGAAUCUUGGAGAGGUCAGUGGAAUUCCGAGUGUAGAGGUGAAAUUCGUAGAUAUUCGGAAGAACACCAGUGGCGAAGGCGACUGACUGGACAAGUAUUGACGCUGAGGUGCGAAAGCGUGGGGAGCAAACAGGAUUAGAUACCCGCGUAGUCCCUGUCUCUUAUAC
This 301-nucleotide ribosomal RNA is filed under the name uncultured bacterium. RNAcentral's name for it is "partial 16S ribosomal RNA". It matches the Rfam family "Bacterial small subunit ribosomal RNA", at positions 509 to 807 of the family's 1533-position model. The record is from RNAcentral.